AAAUUGAAGAGUUUGAUCAUGGCUCAGAUUGAACGCUGGCGGCAGACCUAACACAUGCAAGUCGAGCGGUAGCACAGAGAGCUUGCUCUCGGGUGACGAGCGGCGGACGGGUGAGUAAUGUCUGGGAAACUGCCUGAUGGAGGGGGAUAACUACUGGAAACGGUAGCUAAUACCGCAUAAUGUCGCAAGACCAAAGUGGGGGACCUUCGGGCCUCAUGCCAUCAGAUGUGCCCAGAUGGGAUUAGCUAGUAGGUGGGGUAACGGCUCACCUAGGCGACGAUCCCUAGCUGGUCUGAGAGGAUGACCAGCCACACUGGAACUGAGACACGGUCCAGACUCCUACGGGAGGCAGCAGUGGGGAAUAUUGCACAAUGGGCGCAAGCCUGAUGCAGCCAUGCCGCGUGUGUGAAGAAGGCCUUCGGGUUGUAAAGCACUUUCAGCGGGGAGGAAGGCGUUAAGGUUAAUAACCUUGGCGAUUGACGUUACCCGCAGAAGAAGCACCGGCUAACUCCGUGCCAGCAGCCGCGGUAAUACGGAGGGUGCAAGCGUUAAUCGGAAUUACUGGGCGUAAAGCGCACGCAGGCGGUCUGUCAAGUCGGAUGUGAAAUCCCCGGGCUUAACCUGGGAACUGCAUUCGAAACUGGCAGGCUAGAGUCUUGUAGAGGGGGGUAGAAUUCCAGGUGUAGCGGUGAAAUGCGUAGAGAUCUGGAGGAAUACCGGUGGCGAAGGCGGCCCCCUGGACAAAGACUGACGCUCAGGUGCGAAAGCGUGGGGAGCAAACAGGAUUAGAUACCCUGGUAGUCCACGCCGUAAACGAUGUCGAUUUGGAGGUUGUGCCCUUGAGGCGUGGCUUCCGGAGCUAACGCGUUAAAUCGACCGCCUGGGGAGUACGGCCGCAAGGUUAAAACUCAAAUGAAUUGACGGGGGCCCGCACAAGCGGUGGAGCAUGUGGUUUAAUUCGAUGCAACGCGAAGAACCUUACCUGGUCUUGACAUCCACAGAACUUUCCAGAGAUGGAUUGGUGCCUUCGGGAACUGUGAGACAGGUGCUGCAUGGCUGUCGUCAGCUCGUGUUGUGAAAUGUUGGGUUAAGUCCCGCAACGAGCGCAACCCUUAUCCUUUGUUGCCAGCGGUCCGGCCGGGAACUCAAAGGAGACUGCCAGUGAUAAACUGGAGGAAGGUGGGGAUGACGUCAAGUCAUCAUGGCCCUUACGACCAGGGCUACACACGUGCUACAAUGGCAUAUACAAAGAGAAGCGACCUCGCGAGAGCAAGCGGACCUCAUAAAGUAUGUCGUAGUCCGGAUUGGAGUCUGCAACUCGACUCCAUGAAGUCGGAAUCGCUAGUAAUCGUAGAUCAGAAUGCUACGGUGAAUACGUUCCCGGGCCUUGUACACACCGCCCGUCACACCAUGGGAGUGGGUUGCAAAAGAAGUAGGUAGCUUAACCUUCGGGAGGGCGCUUACCACUUUGUGAUUCAUGACUGGGGUGAAGUCGUAACAAGGUAACCGUAGGGGAACCUGCGGUUGGAUCACCUCCUUACCUUAAAGAA
This 1550-nucleotide ribosomal RNA is filed under the name Klebsiella pneumoniae. RNAcentral describes it as "bacterial SSU rRNA". It matches the Rfam family "Bacterial small subunit ribosomal RNA". The record is from RNAcentral. Lineage: Bacteria; Pseudomonadati; Pseudomonadota; Gammaproteobacteria; Enterobacterales; Enterobacteriaceae.